Long non-coding RNA from Maniola jurtina (meadow brown), 1566 nucleotides. RefSeq lists it as uncharacterized. Lineage: Eukaryota; Metazoa; Arthropoda; Insecta; Lepidoptera; Nymphalidae. The transcript is spliced from 4 exons. The record is from RefSeq and is a predicted model, not a curated record.
GAUCGAUUUUACCGAAACCAAAUUUUAUGUCAAUUUAUAUACUUUUAAUACUAUUAUUUCAUUAAUAUAGCCUUAAAAUCAUACUGAGGUAUUUAUAAUGAAUCGUAGUUAUUAAAAUAAUUAAAAUAAAAUUAAAAAAAAGCUCUGGGUGUAUGGCGCACCGCGCAUUAUUCAAUAUCUAGGCAAAAACUAUUUAGAGAUGGUAACCCUCUUAUUGUGAAUUGCCGAUUGCGCGACGCGGUGGUACCUCUAGUGUUUGUGAUUUACAAGUGAUAAAGUUUGAGUAUUUUUAUUGUAUUGUUGCUUGUUCAUGCAACAAAAAUAAAUUAUGGAGCCACGAACUUCACGCAAAGAUUAUCUGAAUCACCCUGGCUAAUGAAUUACUCUGGCCCCCGGAAAAGUCGCAAACGAGUUCUUGGACAAAUGAAAAAAAGAUAUCAUGGAGAAAGCAAAAGUCGUAGUGAAGUGUGGUGCAAAAAGAAGGCAGAUAACAAUCCUAUUCCUGGAAGUUUUGUGUAUGUGGAACAUGAAUAAUCUUCAAAUAAUAGUAAUUGAUCCAUAAUACAUAGGGAUUAUAGAAGAAGAAGUCAAUUUUGGAAAUAAAGUGUUUUCCCUCAUUGGCUCGCAACAGUCAAGAUAUGUUUUCUGCUGCAAAAGAUUGUAAAAAUUUUCCUCUCUACAUUGAUAGUACUGGGAGGUUACAAAUGAAUAAAAAACACAAUUUCUAUUAUCAGAUCCAGGGCCAGCUGUGGGUUACAAAAAUGAACAAAUGCUACUUUGUUAGAUAUAUUUCUCCAACUUACGACAUCACUAUUUUAGAAAUAGAACGUGAUGAAGUUUUUAUGGGUAACAUGAUACCAAAACUAGAUAAUUUUUUUAAAAAUUGUGUAUUGCCUGAAGUAGUACUUCGGAGAGUCGGCAAUAAUCAAACUUGCUUAGACAUUUCAUUGUGUAAAUAAAAUCAAUAAAAAUAUUUGAAAAAUAAUCAACUGCAUACAUGCAACAUAUUAUACUCUACGUUGAUAAGAACCACCCUUGUGUAAAUUUAACCUUUUCCCACAAAUGAAUUUGCUCAAAACACUCAUGAAAUUUUCCACCACAUUUGUUGUAUCAUUCGAUAGCCGAUGGCAUUUCGCCAUGACCUUUGUCUCAUUUGCAGCACAUAUGAGGGCCCACACUGUGGGAGCUUUACUUUUGUAUUUUUCUAAUGAGUCUGUGUCUUUUUCAUCACUGUUGACACAGAAUCUACAGUAAUAUGGUUUACAUUCUUUAUGGCAGCCAAACACAUGAGAUGGGUCAAUUUUUGAAUCCUUAUCCUAAAUCAAUAAAAAUAUUUUUCAAAUAUUUUUAUUGAUUUUAUUUACACAAUUGGCUCAAUUUUACUGUCCCAUUCGGUAUCGAGACCCUUGGUCCCUGGGGUCCUAGCGCUUCAAGCCUUUUUAGGGAAAUAUGAAAAAGGUUAGUCGACAUCACAAAAGGCCGAAGAGCUGGCAGCUACCUCUGACUAAGAAUUAGUCUAGCCAUUCAAAGGGGGAACGAUGCCAGUAUCUUUGGAACCUUGCCUAA